UUAAUAGAAGCCAAAACAGAGGCAAUUUAUUGUUAAUAAAUCAAAUGAUUAAUUAAUAAUCCUAUUAAA
This 69-nucleotide transfer RNA is filed under the name Gorpis humeralis. Its description in RNAcentral is "tRNA-Asn". Lineage: Eukaryota; Metazoa; Arthropoda; Insecta; Hemiptera; Nabidae. The record is from RNAcentral.